GUUGUGGCAAACUGCUUUCUCAAAAUAUCCCAUGUCUCUUUCGCUGAUUUCAACAGAUCCAUCCGCAUGAUCAACAAGUGUACGUCCAUCCUUUCUUCGAAGCAAUUCUAAAUGUUCGUUUUAAGAAAAAGCUCUGGAAAUUCGAAAACAAUCGUAUGGUCCAAAUCAUGUUGAUGUCGCUACGUCUUUAAACGAUCUUGGUGUGGUGUAUGAUAAAACUAGAAACUACGACAAAGCUAUGGAGAUUUACGAAAAGGCUCUAGAAAUUCAAAAACAAUCGUCAGGUCCAAAUGAUGUUAAUGUAGCUACGUCUUUAAAUAAUCUUGGUAAUGUGCUU
Long non-coding RNA from Xenia sp. Carnegie-2017, 337 nucleotides. RefSeq lists it as uncharacterized. The record is from RefSeq and is a predicted model, not a curated record. Lineage: Eukaryota; Metazoa; Cnidaria; Anthozoa; Malacalcyonacea; Xeniidae. The transcript is spliced from 2 exons.